This 613-nucleotide long non-coding RNA is filed under the name Bos taurus (domestic cattle). RNAcentral describes it as "long non-coding RNA NONBTAT012017". The record is from RNAcentral. Lineage: Eukaryota; Metazoa; Chordata; Mammalia; Artiodactyla; Bovidae.
CUUUAUUGGUAAAUUUCCCGUGUGAAACUAAACUUAGCUCGUUCCAAAGGUAAGUUGGAUUUUCAGUCUACGGUGAAAUUUUGCAGAAAGCACUCCCUCUGGCUAGUGUUUUUUUUUUUUUUAGCGAUUGGGAGAGUUGUGAUGUGGUUUGUGGUGGAACGCGAUCUAAGGAGGAAAUGUAACGCCGGACGCUUCCCUGUCUUUGACCUUUUUAAAGGAAGAGGAAGUUAACUGACAUUACCCAUCACCCCCAAAAGUCUCACUUCUUGGAAGACUGGUGUUAAAUGCUGAAUAUUUUUAAAGGGCUUGAAUUUACUCUUCCUAGGCCUGAUAUCUGGAGGGUACCGUGGCUCCUGGCUGGAAAGUCUAGUGUUGAAUGUGUCUAAUUUCAUGUUAUUUGCUCGACUGUAGAGUUUUUGGACAGCUUUGAUUGAAAAGACUUGGUGACGAGGUAUUUUAGUUAAAAAGCAGCGGGUGAAGGUAAAACGUUGAAUUCAUGAAUUCCACGGAGAAUUAGAAAGGCAUUAUUACCUACCUGAGUAACAUUUCAUCAUACACCCCUCCCCCCAAUCCGUUGUAUUUAUGUAAAUCAAUAAAUAAUUAUUGGAUGUUU